CCUACGGGGGGCUGCAGUGGGGAAUAUUGCACAAUGGCCGCAGCCUUGAUCCAGCGCGGCCCGGUGGGGGUUGAAGGCUUUCGGGCGUUAAAGCCCGGUCCUAAGGGAAGAAUAAUACCGUUACCUUAGGAGGAAGCCCCGGCUAAUAAGGUGCCACCAGCCGCGGUAAUACGUAGGGGGCGACCGUUAUCGGGAAUCACGGGGGGUAAAGGGUGCGUAGGCGGCCCGGCAAGUCAGGAGUUAAAUCCCUCGGCUCAACCGAGGUCAGCUCUUGAAACUGUAGGGCUUGAGUGCAGGAGAGGAGAGCGGAAUUCCUAGUGUAGCGGUGAAAUGCGUAGAUAUUAGGAGGAACACCAGUGGCGAAGGCGGCUCUCUGGACUGCAACUGACGCUGAGGCACGAAAGCGUGGGGAGCGAACAGGAUUAGAUACCCGUGUAGUC
RNAcentral lists this ribosomal RNA (440 nucleotides) under uncultured bacterium. RNAcentral describes it as "partial 16S ribosomal RNA". It matches the Rfam family "Bacterial small subunit ribosomal RNA", at positions 338 to 795 of the family's 1533-position model. The record is from RNAcentral.